AUGUACCACUCGUACACUGCAGUUCUUAGCGCGCCAUCCACGCCCACCUGACGACUGCUCGCUAGUUUUGUUAGCC
RNAcentral lists this small RNA (76 nucleotides) under Xanthomonas hortorum. RNAcentral describes it as "sX9 sRNA". It matches the Rfam family "Xanthomonas sRNA sX9". Lineage: Bacteria; Pseudomonadati; Pseudomonadota; Gammaproteobacteria; Lysobacterales; Lysobacteraceae. RNAcentral also lists the same sequence under 1 other name. The record is from RNAcentral.